Molecule: small nuclear RNA, 104 nt
Organism: Suncus etruscus (white-toothed pygmy shrew)
Lineage: Eukaryota; Metazoa; Chordata; Mammalia; Eulipotyphla; Soricidae
Source: RefSeq, a predicted model, not a curated record
GUGCUCAUUUCGGCAGCACAUAUACUAAAGUUGGAACGAUAUAGAGAUUAGCAUGGCCCCUACGCAAGGAUAACAUGCAAAUUCAUGAAGCAUACCAUAUUUUU